RNAcentral lists this ribosomal RNA (497 nucleotides) under uncultured bacterium. Its description in RNAcentral is "partial 16S ribosomal RNA". It matches the Rfam family "Bacterial small subunit ribosomal RNA", at positions 28 to 507 of the family's 1533-position model. The record is from RNAcentral.
GACGAACGCUGGCGGCGUGCCUAAUACAUGCAAGUUGAGCGCUGAAGGUUGGUACUUGUACCAACUGGAUGAGCAGCGAACGGGUGAGUAACGCGUGGGGAAUCUGCCUUUGAGCGGGGGACAACAUUUGGAAACGAAUGCUAAUACCGCAUAAAAACUUUAAACACAAGUUUUAAGUUUGAAAGAUGCAAUUGCAUCACUCAAAGAUGAUCCCGCGUUGUAUUAGCUAGUUGGUGAGGUAAAGGCUCACCAAGGCGAUGAUACAUAGCCGACCUGAGAGGGUGAUCGGCCACAUUGGGACUGGGACACGGCCCAAACUCCUACGGGAGGCAGCAGUAGGGAAUCUUCGGCAAUGGACGAAAGUCUGACCGAGCAACGCCGCGUGAGUGAAGAAGGGUUUCGGAUCGUAAAACUCUGUUGGUAGGGAAGAACGUUGGUGAGAGUGGAAAGCUCAUCAAGUGACGGUAACUACCCAGAAAGGGACGGCUAACUACGUG